RNAcentral lists this unclassified non-coding RNA (240 nucleotides) under soil metagenome. RNAcentral describes it as "partial contains 5.8S ribosomal RNA, internal transcribed spacer 2, and large subunit ribosomal RNA". The record is from RNAcentral.
AACGCACGAGACCUGCGGACCUGCGGAGGGAUCAUUAAUGAGAAACUGCCCCUCGCGGGUGGAUCUCCCACCCUUUGUAAACUUACCUUUGUUGCUUUGGCAGGCCCGUCUCCGGACCGCCGGCUUCGGCUGGCCAGUGCCUGCCAGAGGAUUCUAAAACUCUGUCUGUCAGUGUUGUCUGAGUCUAUAUACAAUCGUUAAAACUUUUAACAAUGGAUCUCUAGAUCGGAAGAGCACACG